CCUACGGGGGGCAGCAGUGGGGAAUAUUGCACAAUGGGGGAAACCCUGAUGCAGCGACGCCGCGUGAGUGAAGAAGUAUUUCGGUACGUAAAGCUCUAUCAGCAGGGAAGAAAAUGACGGUACCUGACUAAGAAGCCCCGGCUAACUACGUGACAGCAGCCGCGGUAAUACGUAGGGGGCAAGCGUUAUCCGGAUUUACUGGGUGUAAAGGGAGCGUAGGCGGCAGCGCAAGUCUGGAGUGAAAUCCCAUGGCUUAACCAUGGAACUGCUUUGGAAACUGUGCAGCUAGAGUGCAGGAGAGGUAAGCGGAAUGCCUAGUGUAGCGGUGAAAUGCGUAGAUAUUAGGAAGAACACCAGUGGCGAAGGCGGCUUACUGGACUGUAACUGACGUUGAGGCUCGAAAGCGUGGGGAGCAAACAGGAUUAGAUACCCCUGUAGUC
RNAcentral lists this ribosomal RNA (440 nucleotides) under uncultured bacterium. Its description in RNAcentral is "partial 16S ribosomal RNA". It matches the Rfam family "Bacterial small subunit ribosomal RNA", at positions 338 to 795 of the family's 1533-position model. The record is from RNAcentral.